This is a long non-coding RNA of Thalassophryne amazonica, 1643 nucleotides long. RefSeq lists it as uncharacterized. The record is from RefSeq and is a predicted model, not a curated record. The transcript has 2 exons. Lineage: Eukaryota; Metazoa; Chordata; Actinopteri; Batrachoidiformes; Batrachoididae.
ACCGUUAUUUUUCUACAAUAUUUACCAAAAGGUAUACACAGUCAAACUUUGGUGCUUGUAACCGGAUUUGAAGGAUUCCUCUGCAAUAUUCUGUUAUCUGCUGCACUACUAAAAAAUUGGUUCCACAAGAAAAAAGUCAGCAUUAUGCAUUUGGCUAGCUGAUCACAUAUUGUUGUUUGCCGAUUUAUCACCCCCCCAAAAAAAAGAAAAAUCAGAGUCACACUUUGAAGUAUUCUAAUUUUGUUAUUUUUGUUUUGUUUUUUUUUCCUUUAAAUGAGUCCCUUUAAACACACACUUAACUCUGCAUCGACAACUUGCUUACUACUUAAACACAGAAAGUGUAAAAGGCGUGAAGAUGGAAAACCAACAGACUUUUAAAAACCUGAUAGUCAUGAGGCCCCCCCCCACACACACACACACACAUUUUUGUGCAAAGUGCUUUAUUGCAGUCCUGCAGUAGUUUCACUGCACGGGGGCGGUGGGGGUGAUUGGAGAGAGGUUUUGUUGCAUGUUGCUGAGGUGACAGGCUGUUUUGGUGGGGUGGUGGGGAGGUUUCGACAAACCACAGAGUGCCUCUCCUUUUUAAGUCAGGAUUAUUCUCGCGAUGGCUUACUGGGAAUCGAACCACUGAGAGGUAAAUGUAUCAGAGUGGUGUACUUUUCCCACCUUCAACAUUUUCCAUCACUGUGGGGAACUGUCGUCACACACGCGGCAUAAGACUUUUCAGAACGCACAAAAGAUCAGCUGUGAGGAUUCCCCAUCAAUCCGCAAACGUCAGUUUGCGUGAGACUGCGGUUCUGCUGCAAUUACUGCAAACGAUACAGGUCGAUCUCCAGAGCAUUUUCCGGUGCCAGAUAAGUUUUUUGUUGCUUUACUGCCCAAUGCAGGUGACUUCAUGUACGCAAUAAUUAGUCGUGUUGACUGGCCGAAAUAUGUUGCCUAGCAAUGCUAGAGCUCGUUAAGAAACCAUAUUAGUAACCACAGAAACUGAUCUUUGACCUUGAGCACACCUUUGAUUGACAAAAAGCAUAAGAGACGGUGUGCACAUUUAAUCCAAUCAGACCACAACAGCGAUUUUUGUGAAAUUUAUGAAUUGGCCACAGAAUCUGAUCUAUGUCGUUAGCUCAAAAACAUUUGAUGCGUUAUCUCCCCUGCAUUGGUUGCUAAUAAUUUACCCCCCAUUUAGGUUUGUGUUUGAUACUUUGGUCUCAACUGCACCUUAAUUUGUUGUUUGCACAGUUGGCGAAAUUUUGAUGCCUAUGUUUUUAGCAUGAGCUAGCCUACUGUUGUCAGGACCUCCACCGCCACCUUACUCAUUUUGAACAUUUGUCCUUCUGCAACAUCGUGUCCCUUGUCAAGAGUUGCAUUCCUCUGUGCAACACUGUUGCAACACCACAAUACUGGAGAGGGGAAAAAAAAAAGUUUUGCUGCAAUAACGUGAACAUGCUUUAAAUUGUAAGCGAUGCAAUUCCACUUUGCCAUGAAAAGUGCAGAAGUGACAAAUGUGAAAAGACGUAACUGAUGAAUUGUACCAUUUGACAAAAUGGAAUCACAACUGACUAACCACAGCAACUUCAGGGAAAGGCCAGAAAUCUUCGAUCGGUAACAGCAUGGGCGAGGCGGACGUCAGCAGCAAAAAAAUA